RNAcentral lists this unclassified non-coding RNA (171 nucleotides) under uncultured fungus. RNAcentral's name for it is "sequence contains ITS1". The record is from RNAcentral. Lineage: Eukaryota; Fungi.
GAAAUGCGAUAAGUAAUGUGAAUUUCACAUUUCAAUGGUUUGCCACUUUCAUCCCUUGCAAAAGGGAAAGAGCGGAGAACAGUGUUUUGAAGUCUUCUUCAUGCCCUUUUUUUUUCUAAAAUUUUUUACCUUUGCGACCUCAAAUCAGGUAAGACUACCCGCUGAAUUUAA